Molecule: ribosomal RNA, 1347 nt
Filed under: Dermacoccus sp. 147Ba
Lineage: Bacteria; Bacillati; Actinomycetota; Actinomycetes; Micrococcales; Dermacoccaceae
Description: partial 23S ribosomal RNA
Rfam family: Bacterial large subunit ribosomal RNA
Source: RNAcentral
ACAGUGGACGCGAGCAUCUAGUAUCUGUGAUCUUUAAGUUUUUAAGGGCACACGGUGGAUGCCUUGGCACCAGGAACCGAUGAAGGACGUUGUAAUCUGCGAUAUGCCUCGGGGAGUCGAUAAACAGGCUGUGAUCCGGGGAUUUCCGAAUGGGGAAACCCGACCAGAAUCAUGUCUGGUCACCUGCACCUGAACACAUAGGGUGUUGGGAGGGAACGUGGGGAAGUGAAACAUCUCAGUACCCACAGGAAGAGAAAACAAGAGUGAUUCCGUGAGUAGUGGCGAGCGAAAGCGGAUGAGGCUAAACCAUGAUCGUGUGAGACCUGUCAGGGGUUGCGGUUGUGGGGUUGUGGGACAGUGCUGACCUUGUCUGACAGCAGGGUGCGCAGUAAGAAACCAGUUGUGUAGUCGAACAGUUUUGAAUGGCUGGGCGUAGAGGGUGCGACUCCCGUAGACGAAACAUAGCUGGCUGUGUUGUGCUGUUUCCCAAGUAGCACGGGGCCCGUGAAAUCUCGUGUGAAUCUGGCAGGACCACCUGCUAAGCCUAAAUAUUCCCUGGUGACCGAUAGCGGACUAGUACCGUGAGGGAAAGGUGAAAAGAACCCCGGGAGGGGAGUGAAAUAGAUCCUGAAACCGUGUGCUUACAAUCCGUCGGAGCCUCUGUGUGGGGUGACGGCGUGCCUUUUGAAGAAUGAGCCUGCGAGUUAGUGCUCAGUGGCGAGGUUAACCCGUGUGGGGUAGCCGUAGCGAAAGCGAGUCCGAAGAGGGCGUUUGAGUCGCUGGGUCUAGACCCGAAGCGGAGUGAUCUACCCAUGGCCAGGUUGAAGCGCCGGUAAGACGGCGUGGAGGACCGAACCCACUUAGGUUGAAAACUGAGGGGAUGAGCUGUGGGUAGGGGUGAAAGGCCAAUCAAACUCCGUGAUAGCUGGUUCUCCCCGAAAUGCAUUUAGGUGCAGCGUCGCGUGUUUCUUGCCGGAGGUAGAGCUACUGGAUGGCUGAUGGGCCCCACCGGGUUACUGACGUCAACCAAACUCCGAAUGCCGGUAAGUGAGAGCGUGGCAGUGAGACUGCGGGGGAUAAGCUUCGUAGUCGAGAGGGAAACAGCCCAGAUCAUCAGCUAAGGUCCCUAAGCGUGUGCUAAGUGGGAAAGGAUGUGGAGUUGCUGUGACAACCAGGAGGUUGGCUUAGAAGCAGCCACCCUUUAAAGAGUGCGUAAUAGCUCACUGGUCAAGUGAUUCUGCGCCGACAAUGUAGCGGGGCUCAAGCACAUCACCGAAGCUGUGGCAAUGACACACAUACCCUUAACGGGGGUGUUGUUGGGUAGGGGAGCGUCGUGUGGCGAGUGAA